Megalopta genalis is the source of this 4270-nucleotide non-coding RNA. The record is from RefSeq and is a predicted model, not a curated record. Lineage: Eukaryota; Metazoa; Arthropoda; Insecta; Hymenoptera; Halictidae.
CUGAUAAGCCGUGCGGCUAGUGUGCCGGCGAUACCGUAUGAAACCGCAGCGCAAUGGAUCAUCGAGUGUAGACAAGUUUAGAUAAGAUUAUUUUGAGUGUGUUGAGGUCUUGUUAAUUUUCAACGCGGUAUAUCGGAGCGAGACUCGGCGGACAGCGACGACAAUGUCUGGCUUUGACGAGAAUCCGUUCGGGGCGCCGAACAUCAACGACCCGUUUUCGGAUCCCUCAAUUAGGAGAGCUGUCACCUCUACUCCAGUCAGUAGAGGCUUGGAGGAUUAUAAUCCCUUCGCGGAACAAGGAACACAAGGUACGGCACAAGUCAGAGGUGCCUCGAAUCCUCCCAUUUACGGAGGACUCGGAUCGACCCAACAGCCUGCUACGCUUCCAACUUCUAAUCAGGAGGCUCCACCACCUGCCUACGCGCGUACACCCCAGCAGACCGUCAACGCGGCACUAGGGAGCAACAUAUCUCCUCCUUUAGAACGAAGACCGGAGCCAGAAUGGAAAACAAGGACAGAAGAAGACAUGAGAAAUGCCUACUACCCAAAGCGGAAUUGGCCACCGUUACCUGACAAGUGUUGCUUCCAACCAUGCUUCUAUCAAGACAUCGAGGUGGAAAUUCAUUCAGACUUUCAGAAUACAGUCAGACAACUCUACAGAUUAUGGAUGUUCCAUGGCUGUGUUCUAUUGCUGAACGUUAUCGGUGGAUUCGUGCUGUUGCUAAAAGACGGAGAAUUCUCAAUGUUCGGUCUCGGAAUCUUGUACCUUAUACUAUUCACACCGUUCUCGUUUCUAUGCUGGUUCCGACCGGCUUACAGAGCCUUCAAACACGACAGUUCGUUCAACUUUAUGGUAUUCUUCGUCGUCUUCUUCUUUCAAUUAAUAGUAACAGCGAUACAGUCUAUAGGCAUUCCUGGCGCUGGAACUUGCGGUAUAAUAACUGCUAUUAAGAUGUUCGAUAAGUCACCCUCGGGGAUCUUUAUCGGCAUACUGCUACUCUUCGUUGCCUUUACUUUCGCCGUCGCUGCAGCCGGCGAUCUUCUAUUGUUGACUAAGAUCCAUCGUAUCUAUCGUUCGUCGGACGCCAGCGUUUCGAAAGCACAACAGGAAUUCACCACGACUUUCUUGCGCAACGAGCACGUGCAAAACGCAGCGAGCAACAUGGCUGCGUCUGCUGUUCGCGCCCAAAUGUCGAACGCUGCCGAUCAGCCCCGUUAUUAAUGCAGUCGCGACGCUCUUCAGGUAUCCUGAUGUCUUUUUGCCGUUCAGUAAAACCGAUAGAGAAAACCUAGUGUACCCUGACCGCAGAGAGAGCCGUGCACUGCCGUGAGACUUUCGAACGGUCCCGCGGGAAUACAUAAUUCUAUUAUUGAGAUCGGGACGCUGUAGCACCGUUUUCGUUCGCGUUUCUAGAAACCAUACCUGUGCAUGCUUUCUUCGUCGGGUCGCGAUCAAAACGAGAAAGGAAAUGGAAAUGUCGAGCCGCGUAAUUUAUUGAGCAAAAUUCCUUAACGCGCGCGUAAUCCGCGGACGACCGCUUGCCCGCAUUAACGCCUUUACUGCUCUUUUCGUUUCGUUUCGUUUCGUAACACAGUAUUUCAGAUCCGAUUAACAGGCAGUGUCCGUAUGUAUGUGUGUGUGGGUUGUGGCUGGGUGGAUGGGUGUGUAUUUUACGUGUGGCCGCGUGUGCGUGUGUGUCUAAUCUACGAGACGAGUGUAUUAUUGUUUCUUUCCUUGUUUCGUUUUUUUUUUCAUUCACCGUGUCGCGAGACAAUCGACAAUUCGUCUACCAUAAGGACUGCGUGUCUAUUAAUCAUUCAUAUCACCGUUCUUUUAUGUUAAUCGCUUCUUAUAUACGUAUUAUAUAUACAUAUAAUUGCUAGCUUUUGUAUUUUAGUGGCACCUGUUCACGAUGCUACGACGAUCGCGCGAGCGAUUCUCGAACGGGAAUACGCACCCCCUCGGUUCUUGCUGAAAAUCAAAAUAACUCGAACAGCCGUGUCCACGAGUGUAGAGUUUAAUUGUUCCGACAUUGUUGACCGAUUAAUCGUUAAUUUAAUGAUGAAUUAUACUGAAACGUCGGUGUCCUCUUUAAUCUUCUCUCCCACCGAUAUACGUCCUGUGGAAACACUCCUUGCAAUGUGUAAUAUAUUAUAUACAUAUACAUAUAUACGUAUGUAUAUCUUAUACGUAUAUGCAUAUAUAAGAUAUAUAUAAAUAUAUGCAUAUUUUUCUUUAUCGAGGUGUUAUUUGGAUCGUCCUCGGGGAGAACGUUCUGUCAAAGUCUAACGGACACUAUCUCUCGCUCUCUCGCUCUCUCCAUCUCUCUCUCUCACUCUCUCUCUCUCUCUAUCUCUCGUAUGUGUCCACCAUCCGUCGCAUGUUUGAUCGUUUAUUAACGAACGAUGACUUAUUUAUAGACUAAGGAAACGUUGGGUUAGAUCGUUGCUGUUACAUUAACCGGUUGUAUCUGAUCGUCUCAAGUCCAAACUCGGAUGCGUUCCAAGAAUGGGAAAAUACCGUUGUGGUCGGUUCAAGAGCCUUUUGUUCAACCGUGACUCGAAUCGAACGGAAUCCGCCGCGCCGAGAUCUAUUUUUUCUUUCAUUUUGCACGCGAGACAAUGGGUUAAAAAGAAAUUCAUCGAGCCGAUGAUUCCUGGUAAUCAGCAUGUUUGUUGCGUCACGCGGUCGAAACGAGGUGAGAAAUUCGUUCUCGUACGAAAUACACGGUUACGAGAGGAACCUACGUGACGAAGGUUGUUUAAAUUUUAUAAAUACGCUGGUAUAUUUGUACUUAUGUAAGCAGUAUAGAAAGAACGAACUAAUAAAAAUGAUUUUAGUUUACACAGAACGCGCGGCAUUCUCUCUUCCGUUGGAAACGUUACCGCCGCGGCGAUCUCACAAUAAAUUCGACAAUCGUUCCAGUCCGAUGGUUCUCAGUAUUGUUUCACCUGUAAUCAGAACGUUUAACGCCUAUCGAUCUUCGUCUCUCGCCGCGAGCCAGCUUGUUAGAGUAAUCGACGUGAAUUAUGUUAUACCUUCGGCUCGGUACGCCGCCAUUGGAUCAUCCGGAAACGAGCAGCCGGGAUCGACCUCGUUCGAGCUUCCGGUACCGAUCAGCUUCACCACGAAUACGGCGUCCAUCAGUUCGAUUUUCGAUUUGUACAUCAGCUUCGCGUGACCUUCGGCCAGUCUGAGGAACAUUUGUAAUCGCAUUUGUACCUGUUUAAGCGAGCAAAGCCGAGCUAAGAUAGCACCGAGCGCGCACAAAGAGCCGAUUCGCCGACACCAGUACAAAGAAAUCAUUUAUCGUGCGACAAAGGAGAUAAUCGACGAUCAGAUCGUGAUACCUGAUAAGGCUAUCGAGUAAUCGCACCGUUGUCCGUUCCUCCCUUCUUUCUGGCCGAGCUCUGUGAUAGAGAUAAGUGGCUCUGAGCACCAGCUCCGCCUCCUUAGUGAUUUCCGGUUGCAACGAGUGUACGUGAGACAAAUAGUCCCGCAAGGACUCCUCCUUCCAUAUACCCUCGGACUUUAGCAAUUCGAUAUGAUUGUUCGAGUCUCUGGCGAAACGAAGCUCGAUUAGAAUCAAGAAAAACGACGUCGACGAUCCCGAGCAGCGGUUCUUUAAUUACAUUUGCGCCGACUCCUCUCCGGUCUCGCAAGCCGCUUUCAGAAUGUGGCCGGACGUCAGCCUGUCCCAUUCCUCGUUCCUGUUGUCCUUCAACAACAAUAUCAGAUCGAAUCUCGACAAGAGUGGAUCGCCAAGCUUCGUCUCCCAUUCUUGAUCCUCGUCGAACUGGCCGCCGCUCGGGUUGAUCGCCGCGAUCACCGAGCAUCUAGAGUUCAGCGUGCUGACUAACCCAGCUUUCGCAAUGGAUAUCGUUUGCUGCUCCAUCGCCUCGUGAACAGAGGUUCUGUCUUGGGUGCUCAUUGUCGUGAACUCGUCCACGCAGCAGACACCGCCGUCGGCUAACACCAACGCUCCAGCUUCCAAAUGCCAGCCGUCCGAGUCCUGCUUGCGAGGAAUUUCGUGGAAGAUUACUAACUCUGAUGGCAGUUGCCGUAAGCCCGGCUGCGGUUGAUCCGAUACCAGUUGUUAGCACCGAUCGCAUAGCCAACCGGGACGCUGCACGAAGCAACUGGGACUUGCCAGUCCCUGGAUCGCCGAUCAAAAGAAGAUGCGGCUCGCCUCGCACCCUCGUUCCUUUAUUUUUGUACGAAUACGAAUGUGAGCUUUUGUACUCGGAAUAUAGUAUAAAGUAACGUAAA